This 3739-nucleotide long non-coding RNA is filed under the name Sus scrofa (pig). RNAcentral describes it as "lncRNA (ENSSSCG00015002096.1)". Lineage: Eukaryota; Metazoa; Chordata; Mammalia; Artiodactyla; Suidae. The record is from RNAcentral.
AGGAGCUGAAUGAUCAAUGUAGCAGUCACCAUAGACUUUAAAAGAAAUGACAUGAUGGUCACUCAUCAUGAUCCCAUCUGUUAUCUUAGGUAGUCAUUGGUGGAUUGGAGAAGUAGCAGUAACAUUUGUACUUUAUGCAGAUAUCACACCUGAUAUAACAUGGGAGUCACGGGCGUUUGAACCAUGUUGUUGGGAGACUGGUGUUAUUUAACUAUAUUGUGGUAGCUGAUACCCAUUCUUAUUUGAUCCCUUUAAGGUGAAGACUUUCUCCAGCAGACUAACUACAGCCCAGACUCCUCUCUGAACUCCAGCAUAAUGUAUCUUAGCUUGAAGUUCCUAUAGGUUAGUUUAAACUCAAAAUGUCCAAAACAGAACAGAGGUGGACUAGCCAGCCCUUUACAGAAGUAGCCGGUAUUGGUCUUUGCUUCCUCUCACUCAUCUAAGGGUCUCAUGUACCUUUUCAUCUAAAGGCCAGGGAUCGAACCUGCAACCUCAUGGUUCCUUGUCAGACUUGUUUCCAUUGAGCCACAAUGGGAACUCCCAGGCCAUCUGCCUUUAAAUAAAUCUUUGAACUAAGGAAAGAACUUUCAUAAUCCUAAUUCUGACAGCGCUGUGAUUAUCUAUAUUCUCAUCCAUCCUAUGGCAGGGGCCCAUUUCCUCCUACCCCUUUCAGUGGGCCAAAAAAAGAUUCUUAAGCUUUAUUUAAUAUUUCCUCAUAUUAUCAUGAGUAUUAUUAAAUCAGACUCCUGUCUUUUGUCCUGAAGAAAAACAAUUACAUUAUUUUAUUAUAGCUUUCUUUUUAUAAACGAAUAUAAGUGUUAUGACUUUUUCUGAAUCUAGUUCUAAUUCCCAGUGUUCUUUGCUUUUGCAAUCUUGGUUAUGUAGUCGGACUUAGGAUCUGCACAUGAUGGAGGACAAGGAUGCCUUUAUUAAGAGCCAUAAUAGGCCUUCUCCGUUGCGUGGACACAACAUUUUUCAGAGUAACAGCCUGGUGCAGUGAGGGUAUUUACUUUGGGGACAAAAGGACCCAAAUUUGGAUUCUCAUAUUGCAGCUUGCUGACAAAGUGAUCUUAAGCAAGACAUUUUAUUUAUAUAUUUAUUUUUUCUAUUUCUUGGGCCGCUCCUACGGCAUAUGGAGGUUCCCAGGCUAGGGGUCGAAUCGGAGCUGUAGCUGCCAGCCUACGCCACAGCCACAGCAACGCGGGCUCUGAGCCGCGUCUGCAACCUACACCACAGCUCAUGGCAACGCCGGAUUGUUAACCCACUGAGCAGGGGCAGGGACCGAACCCACAACGUCAUGGUUCCUAGUCGGAUUCGUUUAACCACUGCACCACGAUGGGAACUCCAAGCAAGACAUUUUACUAGAUUUGUUUUCUUACCUAUCAAGUGAGAUUAAUAAGAUAUUUUAAAUUUUUUCUUUUUUGGCUGCAUCUACGGUAUAUGGAAGUUCCUGGGCCAGGGAUCAAAUCGGCGACCUCUGCCACAGCUGUGGCAAUGCCGGAUCCUUAACCCACUGUCCCCUAUGCCAGGCUGGGGAUCCAACCAGUGCAGCUACAGAGACAAUGCUAGAUCAUUAACCCACUGCCCCACAGUGGGAACUCCUCAAGUGAGAUUAUUAAUACAAGCUCUGCACAUUCUUGGAGGCUUGUGGUAAGGUAAAGUGAUGAUCAAAUAUGAUAGUAUAUGAAAACACUCCAUAAAUUGAGGAGCACUGUAUGAAUAUAAGUUCUUUUUUUCUACUUGCUUCUCUUAUUCUGUGUGUACCAUAAGCAUUAUGCACAAAAAUCACUAUCUCCAUUUUUUUGCAGUUAACCAUUAUCCUAAAUGCAAAUUAGCAACUUGAAGCCCAAGUACAAUCAGUUCAACUGCUUUGUUCAAAUUGAACUACAUUUUGGGAGGGGGGGUGCCCUGUGUUGUUUUUUUUCAGACCCGUGUGCCAGGCUAGAUGACGUGGUCCCCAUGUGAGGCUGAAUUCUGUGCCUGGACUUUCAUGUGCCCCCAGGGCUCACCCUCCACCUCUCUCCUCCCUGCUCCCUCAGUGCCUGACUUGCUGUCCUUCCUGUCUGUUCUCAAAUCCAGGUUUCUCACCUGGCUGCAGUUGAGAACUUAGGACAGUUCUGUUUCCUAAGCUGAGGGAUAGUGGCCCCCUCUGCUCCCAGUCCAGAUCCCCAUCCAUCUGUGGAUGGAGGUCAGAGGUGAAGGACCUUGAACCUGCGGCCUCUGCAGACCCUGCAGCCAAAGGUACCUCUAGAAAUUCCUGGCAUCAGGGAAGAUUUCACCGAACAUUUGGGAGUUUUGUAUCAUUAUGUAGCUUCACCUUUAAAGCUCUGCAAUCCAGCAGUUUCCCUCAGGUUCGUGUAUGAUAUUUCCACUCUGCUUAAAACACUCCUAGGUGUUUCGUCUGUUUCCUACCAAAACAGAGAAUAACAUUAUGUAUUAUUGGGCCAGUUUUCCAAAGCCUGGCCAAUUUCCUAUUAAUCUAUUUUAGACACAGUCCAACAUAAAACAGAUUUUGAUAAUUUAUGUAAUGGUCUUUUUUUGGUACCUCAACUGAAGUAAUAUCAUAGAGAAAUUCAGGAAUUAAAAAAAAAAACACUUAAUUUUGACAUAUAGAGGAAUUGUGGCCUUCACUAGUUAUUAUUCUGUAAUAUUUUUUUAUGUGACAAAAUUGGUCUGGUUUUGAAGCUCUGAUAUCUCAAAUGAUCAUUUCAUUUGGACACUAUAUUGAAAUUCUUGUAGCAAGUGAUAAUCCAACUCUAGAGGAAAAGCAAAUGUAUUGGUUCACGGUAAUGACAAGUUCAGGCAUGGCUGGAUCAGAGUGAAAGUGAAAUCCCAAGGACAGCCAUGGGAAUUGUUGUUUUCUGUGCUGUCUCCUUUCUCAGACAGGCACUUCUCUUAGAAGGAAAAGUUCACACAAAAGUCCUUAAUUGAGUCUUAUUUGUCUGGCUUGGAUCACAUGCUGUAUUUGAAACAGUUAUGGUCAGAGAGGUGGACGGAGUUUACUGAUUGGCUAGGGCUGGGUCCUGUGAACUGACAGAGGAGGAAAUCCUGGUACUGUUACUCAGCAAAGGGGAUAUUAACUUGGACUGGCAGAAGCAUCAGAUGUCCACUUUAGAUGUCAUUUCAAUAAUAUUUUUAGGCAUCUUAAUUAGGGCCUGGGUCCUAUACAGAUCAGCUCUAUUCUGCCAGCCUCCCUGUACCUGAGGUGAUUGUUUUCUAGGGACCUGCAGAAGAGGGGAAGAUUAAACUGAAACCUUUUGGUCAAUACUUGUUAAAUAAUUCAGGUAGUCUGCAAAGUUGUGGAGCUACAACUAGAGCAGGCGCUGUUGUGGCUCUUGAGGUCAUCAUGUAUAAGAGACAACAUGUAAACAUAAAUCCAAGACCAAAAUAUUUACUAUGAUAUCAUCAUGCAUUGAGUAUUACAGGAGGAAGGGCUUAUAGUCAGUUUGGGAGCAGGGAGUGGGGUAUGGAAAAAUUUAGGGAGUUCCUGUUGUGGCUUAGCUGUAAUGAACUGGCUAGUAUCCAUGAGGAUUCAGGUUCCAUCCCUGGCCCCGAUCAGUGGGUUAAGGAUCCAGCAUUGCUGUGAGCUGCAGUGUAGGUCACAGAUAUGGCUUGGAUCUGGAGUUGUGGUUGUGAUAUAGGCUGGCAGCUGCAGCUCUGAUUCGACCCCUAGCCUGGGAACUUCCAUAUGCUUUGGGUGCCACCCUAAAAAGCAAAAAAAAAAAAAAAAAAAAAAAAG